UUGUUCCUCUCUAACCAAAUACACCAAAAAAUACAAGCAGGUAUCAUAAUCCAGAUCUUCUUGAUGACUUUGUCAACUUUCCAUAGACUCCAAUUCUCAUAUGCAUCCUUAACAGCACAAUAUAAGCUGAGCUAAUGAGUUAGUAAAAUCCUGAAGUUGUUCUGCAUUAACAGCAUGAUACAAGUUGGUCCAACUAAACAAAUUUUCAGUGCACCUAGUCUUCAAAAUGCCUAAAGCAGUUGACUCUCCAUCAAAACAUCUCUUGUUCCUCUCUAACCAAAUACACCAAAAAAUACAAGCAGGUAUCAUAAUCCAGAUCUUCUUGAUGACUUUGUCAACUUUCCAUAGACUCCAAUUCUCAUAUGCAUCCUUAACAGCACAAUAUAAGCUGAGCUAAUGAGUUAGUAAAAUCCUGAAGUUGUUCUGCAUUAACAGCAUGAUACAAGUUGGUCCAACUAAACAAAUUUUCAGUGCACCUAGUCUUCAAAAUGCCUAAAGCAGUUGACUCUCCAUCAAAACAUCUCUUGUUCCUCUCUAACCAAAUACACCAAAAAAUACAAGCAGGUAUCAUAAUCCAGAUCUUCUUGAUGGCUUUGUCAACUUUCCAUAGACUCCAAUUCUCAUAUGCAUCCUUAACAGCACAAUAUAAGCUGAGCUAAUGAGUUAGUAAAAUCCUGAAGUUGUUCUGCAUUAACAGCAUGAUACAAGUUGGUCCAACUAAACAAAUUUUCAGUGCACCUAGUCUUCAAAAUGCCUAAAGCAGUUGACUCUCCAUCAAAACAUCUCUUGUUCCUCUCUAACCAAAUACACCAAAAAAUACAAGCAGGUAUCAUAAUCCAGAUCUUCUUGAUGGCUUUGUCAACUUUCCAUAGACUCCAAUUCUCAUAUGCAUCCUUAACAGCACAAUAUAAGCUGAGCUAAUGAGUUAGUAAAAUCCUGAAGUUGUUCUGCAUUAACAGCAUGAUACAAGUUGGUCCAACUAAACAAAUUUUCAGUGCACCUAGUCUUCAAAAUGCCUAAAGCAGUUGACUCUCCAUCAAAACAUCUCUUGUUCCUCUCUAACCAAAUACACCAAAAAAUACAAGCAGGUAUCAUAAUCCAGAUCUUCUUGAUGGCUUUGUCAACUUUCCAUAGACUCCAAUUCUCAUAUGCAUCCUUAACAGCACAAUAUAAGCUGAGCUAAUGAGUUAGUAAAAUCCUGAAGUUGUUCUGCAUUAACAGCAUGAUACAAGUUGGUCCAACUAAACAAAUUUUCAGUGCACCUAGUCUUCAAAAUGCCUAAAGCAGUUGACUCUCCAUCAAAACAUCUCUUGUUCCUCUCUAACCAAAUACACCAAAAAAUACAAGCAGGUAUCAUAAUCCAGAUCUUCUUGAUGGCUUUGUCAACUUUCCAUAGACUCCAACUCUCAUAUGCAUCCUUAACAGUGAGGGGUGUGGUCCAAUUGAUGCCAGAGAGACCAAAAAACAUGCUCCAUAAUUCUGAGGCCACCUCACAAUGAAGAAGAAGGUGUCUAGGGGUUUCAGCCUCUUUUUUGCACAUAUAGCAUCUGUUUGGGAAUUGGAUUUUUCUUUUCUUUAUGUUGUCUUGGGUGAGACAUGCCUCAUAUAGAGCUAUCCAGGUAAAAAAAACUACCUUAGGUGGUA
This 1644-nucleotide long non-coding RNA is filed under the name Solanum tuberosum (potato). RNAcentral describes it as "long non-coding RNA (STUB_LNC006670)". The record is from RNAcentral. Lineage: Eukaryota; Viridiplantae; Streptophyta; Magnoliopsida; Solanales; Solanaceae.